UACGAAGGGUGCAAACGUUGCUCGGAAUUAUUGGGCGUAAAGAGCUCGUAGGCGGCUUGGCAAGUCGGGUGUGAAAACUCCAGGCUCAACCUGGAGACGCCACCCGAUACUGCUAUGGCUUGAGUCCGGUAGGGGACCACGGAAUUCCUGGUGUAGCGGUGAAAUGCGCAGAUAUCAGGAGGAACACCGGUGGCGAAGGCGGUGGUCUGGGCCGGAACUGACGCUGAGGAGCGAAAGCGUGGGGAGCGAACAGG
RNAcentral lists this ribosomal RNA (254 nucleotides) under uncultured bacterium. RNAcentral describes it as "partial 16S ribosomal RNA". It matches the Rfam family "Bacterial small subunit ribosomal RNA", at positions 524 to 776 of the family's 1533-position model. The record is from RNAcentral.